UAGAGAAUCUUCGGCAAUGGACGGAAGUCUGACCGAGCAACGCCGCGUGAGUGAAGAAGGUUUUCGGAUCGUAAAGCUCUGUUGUUAGAGAAGAACGUUGGUAGGAGUGGAAAAUCUACCAAGUGACGGUAACUAACCAGAAAGGGACGGCUAACUACGUGCCAGCAGCCGCGGUAAUACGUAGGUCCCGAGCGUUGUCCGGAUUUAUUGGGCGUAAAGCGAGCGCAGGCGGUUCUUUAAGUCUGAAGUUAAAGGCAGUGGCUUAACCAUUGUACGCUUUGGAAACUGGAGGACUUGAGUGCAGAAGGGGAGAGUGGAAUUCCAUGUGUAGCGGUGAAAUGCGUAGAUAUAUGGAGGAACACCGGUGGCGAAAGCGGCUCUCUGGUCUGUAACUGACGCUGAGGCUCGAAAGCGUGGGGAGCAAACAGGAUUAGAUACCCUGGUAGUCCACGCCGUAAACGAUGAGUGCUAGGUGUUAGGCCCUUUCCGGGGCUUAGUGCCGCAGCUAACGCAUUAAGCACUCCGCCUGGGGAGUACGACCGCAAGGUUG
Molecule: ribosomal RNA, 550 nt
Filed under: uncultured bacterium
Lineage: Bacteria
Description: bacterial SSU rRNA
Rfam family: Bacterial small subunit ribosomal RNA
Source: RNAcentral